This 374-nucleotide ribosomal RNA is filed under the name uncultured organism. Its description in RNAcentral is "partial 16S ribosomal RNA". It matches the Rfam family "Bacterial small subunit ribosomal RNA", at positions 527 to 896 of the family's 1533-position model. The record is from RNAcentral.
GUAGGUGGCAAGCGUUGUCCGGAAUUAUUGGGCGUAAAGCGCGCGCAGGCGGUCCUUUAAGUCUGAUGUGAAAGCCCACGGCUCAACCGUGGAGGGUCAUUGGAAACUGGGGGACUUGAGUACAGAAGAGGAAAGCGGAAUUCCAAGUGUAGCGGUGAAAUGCGUAGAGAUUUGGAGGAACCCCAGUGGCGAAGGCGGCUUUCUGGUCUGUAACUGACGCUGAGGCGCGAAAGCGUGGGGAGCAAACAGGAUUAGAUACCCUGGUAGUCCACGCCGUAAACGAUGAGUGCUAAGUGUUAGGGGGUUUCCCGCCCCCCUUAGUGCUGCAGCUAACGCAUUAAGCACUCCGCCUGGGGAGUACGGCCGCAAGGCUG